This 253-nucleotide ribosomal RNA is filed under the name uncultured bacterium. Its description in RNAcentral is "partial 16S ribosomal RNA". It matches the Rfam family "Bacterial small subunit ribosomal RNA", at positions 524 to 776 of the family's 1533-position model. The record is from RNAcentral.
UACGUAGGGUGCAAGCGUUGUCCGGAAUUAUUGGGCGUAAAGAGCUCGUAGGCGGUUUGUCGCGUCGAAUGUGAAAACCCGGGGCUCAACCCCGGGCCUGCAUUCGAUACGGGCAGACUAGAGUUCGGUAGGGGAGUCUGGAAUUCCUGGUGUAGCGGUGAAAUGCGCAGAUAUCAAGAGGAACACCUGAGGUGAAGACGGGUUGCUGGGCUGACACUGACGCUGAGGCGCGAAAGCUAGGGUAGCAAACGGG